Rosa chinensis is the source of this 772-nucleotide long non-coding RNA. RefSeq lists it as uncharacterized. The transcript has 3 exons. The record is from RefSeq and is a predicted model, not a curated record. NCBI's taxonomy places the organism in Eukaryota, Viridiplantae, Streptophyta, Magnoliopsida, Rosales, Rosaceae.
UAAAACAAAUAUUUGUCUAACUAUUCACAACUCACCAAACGCGUCUUUGUGUAGAUAAGCUGAUAAGGUGAAAUCAAGGGCAAAGCCCUCUCCUCAGAAACAAAACGCUAAUUCCUGUUUGGAUCUCUCUCUCUCUCUCUCUCUCUCUCUCUCUCUCUCUCUCUCUCUCUCUCUCUCUCUCUCUCUCUCUCUCUCUCUCUCUCUCUCUCUCUCUCUCUCUCGUCCUCCUUCUCCUUCCUGUAUCUCUCGAUCUCUCAAUCAUGAACAAGGUAGUAGAUCCAAAAUCCAUGCAGAUCCCCCACUAUCGAUUUUGGAUCUGCUCCGAUGGUGAAGUUUCUGCUGGAGCAUCUGGAGAAAUCGAUUUUCGAUCUGCUCCGACGGUGAAGUUUCUGCUGGAGCAUCAGUCUUAAUCGAGUUUGGAUUUGCUCCGAUGGUGAAGUUUAUGCUGGAGCAUCUGGAGAAAUCUGGGUGUGGGAUAUUAGACGGGUCUUGCUGGGCCGUUCAUUGCGAGAAGAAGAUUGCCGGAGUAUACACCCGCCGCGGAUGGAUAAUGGUGUGUAGUAAUCACAUGAACAUGCAAGAUGAGGUCAACCAAGUAGUGAUACAUGAGCUAAUUCAUGCUGGAACAGAUUCGUGCUGGCCAUCUUAGUGGUGAUUGCCACUGUAAACGUGAAUUUUUGCUGUGCCAAGAAGAUUCGAGAAUUGUGAACAAAGAGGAGGCGACAGUAAAAAGAAAGAGAGAGAAGAGAACAGGGAAACAAGAGAAAGAAGA